GAGAGACGAAUUUUGGUCCCUAAGAGACCUCAUGAUGCAAAUGUAUGUAUGCAAAAGGUAAUACUCUGUGGAGAUAUGUGUCCACAAAGAAAGAAAAGAAAUCAGGAGAAACUGAUAAUCCAUAUGAGUAGUACGCUCAACGGGACAGAGACUCUGAGGACUCUUAUGGGGAUAAGAAAAGGAAUAAGAUGCGUGAGCAGGUCAC
This 205-nucleotide long non-coding RNA is filed under the name Lathyrus oleraceus (garden pea). RNAcentral's name for it is "Pisum sativum (pea) long non-coding RNA (PSAT_LNC017169)". The record is from RNAcentral. Lineage: Eukaryota; Viridiplantae; Streptophyta; Magnoliopsida; Fabales; Fabaceae.